AGAAUCUUUCGCAAUGCCCGAAAGGGUGACGAAGCGACGCCGCGUGUGGGAAGAAGGCCUUCGGGUUGUAAACCACUGUCGGGAGUUAGGAAAUGUAAGGGUGUUAAUAGUAUCCUUACUUGACUAAGGCUCCGGAGGAAGCCACGGCUAACUCUGUGCCAGCAGCCGCGGUAAUACAGAGGCGGCAAGCGUUGUUCGGAAUUAUUGGGCGUAAAGAGCACGUAGGCGGCCUUGUAAGUCAGUUGUGAAAGCCUUCUGCUUAACGGAAGAACAGCAGCUGAUACUGCAAGGCUAGAGUGCGGAAGGGGAGAGUGGAACUUCUGGUGGAGCGGUGAAAUGCGUAGAUAUCAGAAGGAACACCGGCGGCGAAGGCGACUCUCUGGUCCGUAACUGACGCUGAGUGUGCGAAAGCUAGGGGAGCAAACGGGAUUAGAUACCCCGGUAGUCCUAGCCGUAAACGAUGGGCACUAAGUAGAGGGGUUUUGAUUAUCUCUCUGCCGGAGCUAACGCAUUAAGUGCCCCGCCUGGGGAGUACGGCCGCAAGGCUAAAACUCAAAAGAAUUGACGGGGGCUCGCACAAGCGGUGGAGCAUGUGGCUUAAUUCGAUGCAACGCGAAGAACCUUACCGGGGUUUGACAUGGUAGAAGUAGGAACCUGAAAGGGUGACGAACGGUAUCCAGUCCGUAACUAUCACAGGUGUUGCAUGGCUG
This 710-nucleotide ribosomal RNA is filed under the name uncultured anaerobic ammonium-oxidizing bacterium. RNAcentral's name for it is "bacterial SSU rRNA". It matches the Rfam family "Bacterial small subunit ribosomal RNA", at positions 358 to 1051 of the family's 1533-position model. The record is from RNAcentral.